RNAcentral lists this ribosomal RNA (253 nucleotides) under uncultured bacterium. RNAcentral describes it as "partial 16S ribosomal RNA". It matches the Rfam family "Bacterial small subunit ribosomal RNA", at positions 524 to 776 of the family's 1533-position model. The record is from RNAcentral.
UACGUAGGGGGCAAGCGUUGUCCGGAAUCAUUGGGCGUAAAGCGCGCGUAGGCGGCCAGAUAAGUCCGGUGUGAAAGUCACAGGCUCAACCUGUGAAUGCCGCUGGAAACUGUCUGGCUUGAGUCCGGAAGGGGCGAGUGGAAUUCCUGGUGUAGCGGUGAAAUGCGCAGAUAUCAGGAGGAACACCAAUUGCGAAGGCAGCUCGCUGGGACGUUACUGACGCUGAGACGCGAAAGCGUGGGGAGCAAACAGG